GAUGAAGAACGUAGCGAAAUGCGAUAAGGAAUGUGAAUUGCAGAAUUCAGUGAAUCAUCGAAUCUUUGAACGCACAUUGCGCCCAUUAGUAUUCUAGUGGGCAUGCCUGUUCGAGCGUCAUUAAUUCCACUUAAGCCCUGCUUAGUGUUGGGAAUCUACUCUAGUGGUGCUACCCUGGAGCUACCCCUGAAAGGGGGCUGGCCCGGUAGCUACCCUGUAGUUCCUCAAAGAUAGUGCGCGGAGUUGCGUGGUCCUCUGAGCUUAGUAACUAUACACCUAGCUUUUGAGUGUCCCGCGGCGCCUGCCGUUUAAACCCCAUCUUUUAAUGGUUGACCCCGGAUCAGGUAGGAAUAGCCGCUGAACUUAAGCAUAUCAAAAGCGGAGGA
RNAcentral lists this unclassified non-coding RNA (386 nucleotides) under soil metagenome. Its description in RNAcentral is "partial contains 5.8S ribosomal RNA, internal transcribed spacer 2, and large subunit ribosomal RNA". The stretch from base 1 to 120 matches the Rfam family "5.8S ribosomal RNA", at positions 35 to 154 of the family's 154-position model. The record is from RNAcentral.